Molecule: unclassified non-coding RNA, 328 nt
Filed under: soil metagenome
Description: partial contains 5.8S ribosomal RNA, internal transcribed spacer 2, and large subunit ribosomal RNA
Rfam family: 5.8S ribosomal RNA (bases 1-120)
Source: RNAcentral
GAUGAAGAACGCAGUGAAACGCGAUAAGUAAUGUGAAUUGCAGAAUUCAGUGAAUCAUCGAAUCUUUGAACGCACAUUGCGCCCCUUGGUAUUCCGAGGGGCAUGCCUGUUCGAGCGUCAUUAUAACCCUCAAGCUCAGCUUGGUGUUGGGGCCUGCUGCACUGGCAGCCCUUAAAAUCAGUGGCGGCGCCAUCUGGCUCUAAGCGUAGUAAUUCUUCUCGCUAUGGAGUCCUGGUGGAUGCUUGCCAUCAACCCCCAAUUUUUCUAUGGUUGACCUCGGAUCAGGUAGGGAUACCCGCUGAACUUAAGCAUAUCAAUAAGCGGAGGA